This 700-nucleotide ribosomal RNA is filed under the name uncultured bacterium. Its description in RNAcentral is "bacterial SSU rRNA". It matches the Rfam family "Bacterial small subunit ribosomal RNA", at positions 46 to 741 of the family's 1533-position model. The record is from RNAcentral.
GCUUUACACAUGCAAGUCGAACGGCAGCACGGACUUCGGUCUGGUGGCGAGUGGCGAACGGGUGAGUAAUAUAUCGGAACGUAUCCAAUAAUGGGGGAUAACUAAUCGAAAGGUUGGCUAAUACCGCAUACGCCCUACGGGGGAAAGCUAGGGACCUUCGGGCCUGGCGUUAAUGGAGCGGCCGAUAUCUGAUUAGCUAGUUGGUGGGGUAAAAGCCCACCAAGGCGACGAUCAGUAGCUGGUCUGAGAGGACGACCAGCCACACUGGAACUGAGACACGGUCCAGACUCCUACGGGAGGCAGCAGUGGGGAAUUUUGGACAAUGGGCGCAAGCCUGAUCCAGCCAUUCCGCGUGAGUGAAGAAGGCCUUCGGGUUGUAAAGCUCUUUCGCAAGGGAAGAAAGAUUGCUCUCUAACAUAGAGUGAUUAUGACGGUACCUUGAUAAGAAACCCCGGCUAACUCCGUGCCAGCAGCCGCGGUAAUACGGAGGGGGUUAGCGUUGUUCGGAAUUACUGGGCGUAAAGCGCGCGUAGGCGGAUUGGAAAGUUGGGGGUGAAAUCCCGGGGCUCAACCUCGGAACUGCCUCCAAAACUCCCAGUCUUGAGUUCGAGAGAGGUGAGUGGAACUCCGAGUGUAGAGGUGAAAUUCGUAGAUAUUCGGAAGAACACCAGUGGCGAAGGCGGCUCACUGGCUCGAUACU